This 627-nucleotide long non-coding RNA is filed under the name Sinocyclocheilus anshuiensis. RNAcentral's name for it is "lncRNA (ENSSANG00000040461.1)". The record is from RNAcentral. Lineage: Eukaryota; Metazoa; Chordata; Actinopteri; Cypriniformes; Cyprinidae.
CUUGGCCAAGCUCACAUCAAUGUUGCUACACAAAUCACUUUCACAUUUUCUUAUUAGCAUCCUGUGGGGUUGAGGAUUAGCUUCUUUAAACAGCCGUUAUUUAAAUGUCUAAUUCAAAUGCUAACGCACAUGCAAAUGACUGUUACAGGUGUGGCUACAGGGGGAUCAGACUGAGGAAGAAAGCAGCGUGUUUACACCUGGAUAUGUGCUGCGUAUACUCGGGUCAGAUCUCAAGGAGCAGAGGUUAUUCUUCAAGAUUUGUGCCAACUGUAUCACUAGUUAUUCCUCAGCUGAUCUUUCAGCAAUGUCUGCUGUUGAAGUAGGGUGAGUUACUUCUUUUAUAGCUCUCUGUGUGUGGUGGGCAGGAUUUGCUAUCUUUGUAGAGAACAAAUGGCCUGCACAAGUGUAGUAAAACCUGAAAUCAUUAGAGCUGUGGCAUGAGUCUGGCCUGAGUCAUAUCCCUGAUCAAAUCAAAUCAAAUCAAAUAUAUUAAAUACAAAGUGAAAUGAAAUCAAAUAAAACAAAAUGAAAUUUUAAAAAAUAAAUAUAAAGUAUAAAAUGAAUUAAAAUAUAAAAUAACAAAUAAAACAACAUAAAAUAACAAAAAUAUUAUGUAAAAUAGCAACA